Molecule: non-coding RNA, 2228 nt
Organism: Caretta caretta (loggerhead turtle)
Lineage: Eukaryota; Metazoa; Chordata; Testudines; Cheloniidae
Source: RefSeq, a predicted model, not a curated record
UUGCCACCGUUACCCCAUAAAAGGUAUGCUGCACGCACGAUAAUGAUCUACUCUGCUUUUCUCCACGUGGACUGCUUCUAUGUUGCUCUCUUAGUGAUGUCUGCAUAACCUGUAAUCAAGAAUAAAACAUAAAAUCAUUACUGAUAAAGCUUGCAUAUGACGCAAAAUCUGGGGGAAGCAGUAAAUAAAGAAGAGGACAGAUCACUGAUACAGAGCAAUCUGGAUUGCUUGGGAAACAGGACACAAGCAAAGGUUAUGUUUUCUAAUACAACUAUAUGUAAGAUCAUACAUCCAGGAACAAAGAAUGUAGGCAACACCCUGCAGGAUGGGGGACUCUAUCCUACGAAGCAGGAACUCUGUAAAAAGACUUUGGGGUUAUGGUGAACAAUCAGCUGAACAUGAGCACCCAGUGCCACACUGUCACCCAAAGGGCUAAUAUGAACUUUAUAAAUAGGAAAUAUCAUGUAGGACUAGGAAGGUUAGACCCCCUAUUACAUGUGUUCAUUGAGUCUGUUCCGAUGUUGGACUCUCAGGCCGUCAAGCCUUUGUGAUUAUGCAGGAACUGACUAAAUGGCGAAUGAUCACUACGGCCGACUAUCUGGGUAAGCACUGAAAAAGAAGAAAAGAGGGCUGACAGUUCAUAACCACCAGAGACAAGAGGUCAUGACAGCAUUCUACAUGGCUAGAGACAGAUGAGGAUGGGCAGGCUGUGACCACCAGAUAGAAGAGGACCAGUAGAAAUUCCACACAGUUAGAAGUUUCCAAUCAGUACCAUGUCCUUAUUGUGGAAACUAUGGAAGAUACCUCUCAAAAUCGAGCUGUUCCAAGAGACUGGAGAGAUGUACCUAUGGAUGCAAGCUUGGCACAACCUGUAAGAAAAUCAGGUUUGCCCACAAAGAGUUGUCCAACUGAUCUAGGAAGAUAGAUGAUCCUUGCUGGUCAUUCAACACUCCAAAGAAUCAAAAGAACAUUCUGUAAGGGACAGGUGGACAACAAGAUGGUGAGCUGUCUUCCCAGAGCUAAGACACGAGACAUCACUCUAAGACUGGAUAGACUUCUGAAGUCGAUGAGCAAGCAUGCUUUGGUGAUGGUUCAAUAUUAGCAUUAAUGACACUGAGGCACAGGAUAUCUCACAGAUAAUAGGGAACUUCAAAGAAUGCAUAAGUGUGCUGAAGAAGAAGAAGAUUGUCCAAGAGAUCAUCUCUAACAUCAUUCCUGUCCCAAAACUGAAAGAAGACAGAAAGCAGAAAAUCUGGAGCGGGGAGCCUAUUCAGGAAGUAGUGAUUCUGAAAAAGAUUUUGCGGUCAUGGUGGAUAAUCCUCUGAACAUGAGCUCCUAUUGUGACAGAGCAAAUGCAUACAGAGGGGACUCUCAGACUGAGAUUGUCAAAGGAGCCUAGUGGGGACUGUGACACUCCAUACCUCCAAGGAGCACCCUGGAACACCCAUAUUCACCACUGUUGUAAGGACAUAAGAAUCGCCAUUAUUAAGACCAAAGGUACAUCUAGCCCAGUAUCCUGUCUUCCAACAGUGGCCAAUGCCAGGUGCCCCAGAGGGAAUGAACAGAACAGGUAAUCAUCAAGUGAUCCAUCCCCUGUCACCCAUUCCCAGCUUCUGGCAAAGAACAUAAUAUAAUUAUAAUAUGUUUUCUACAAAGUAUGCCUUAUUAGGUGUCAUUUUAAAAGUCUUGAUCUGUUAAACAUUAAUAUCCUGUUGGAUUGUAUGUGCUAUCAUUGUAUGUGAAGUUAUUAAGUCUUGCUAUGUGUGUAUUUUACUGUAAUAUGUUGUGAGAUUGGGAACAGGUACAUCAAUGGAGCAUCAACACCUAUCAACGAAAUAAUCUUCUAUCCUAGGAACUGCAUACAAUGGAGACUUCUCAGAGAGAACAUGUAGACAACAGACACUGUUUGACCAAUGGGUAAUGACUAACCCAUCUCACAGUAAAGAUCUUUCCAACAAGCUGGAAAAAACUAUAAAAGAGAGGAAGUAACAUCAUCACUUGGCCUCACUCCCCCCCACAACUCAACACCUGGAAACAUGUCUGGAGGACAAAGACUUUGAACUGGGGGAGGGUGGUCUGAGACAAUAACAGGUUCCAGUCUGUUUUUGAGGAUCUGUGAUCUGUUUGUACCAUCUAUCAGGGUGAGACACUCUUGAUUCAAAUCCUGUUUAGUUUGUAGAACUCAGACUAUGAAUUUAUUUUUGUUUCUUGAGUAACCAAAUCUGAUU